GUACACUCCUGCGGGAGGCAGCAGUGGGGAAUAUUGGACAAUGGGCGCAAGCCUGAUCCAGCCAUGCCGCGUGAGUGAUGAAGGCCCUAGGGUUGUAAAGCUCUUUCACCGGUGAAGAUAAUGACGGUAACCGGAGAAGAAGCCCCGGCUAACUUCGUGCCAGCAGCCGCGGUAAUACGAAGGGGGCUAGCGUUGUUCGGAUUUACUGGGCGUAAAGCGCACGUAGGCGGACUAUUAAGUCAGGGGUGAAAUCCCGGGGCUCAACCCCGGAACUGCCUGUGAUACUGGUAGUCUUGAGUUCGAGAGAGGUGAGUGGAAUUCCGAGUGUAGAGGUGAAAUUCGUAGAUAUUCGGAGGAACACCAGGGGCGAAGGCGGCUCACUGGCUCGAUACUGACGCUGAGGUGCGAAAGCGUGGGGAGCAAACAGGAUUAGAAACCCGGGUAGUCCC
RNAcentral lists this ribosomal RNA (449 nucleotides) under uncultured organism. RNAcentral's name for it is "partial 16S ribosomal RNA". It matches the Rfam family "Bacterial small subunit ribosomal RNA", at positions 331 to 797 of the family's 1533-position model. The record is from RNAcentral.